AGAGUUUGAUCCUGGCUCAGGACGAACGCUGGCGGCGCGCCUAACACAUGCAAGUCGAACGAGCGAGAGAGAGCUUGCUUUCUCAAGCGAGUGGCGAACGGGUGAGUAACGCGUGAGGAACCUGCCUCAAAGAGGGGGACAACAGUUGGAAACGACUGCUAAUACCGCAUAAGCCCACGGGUCGGCAUCGACCAGAGGGAAAAGGAGCAAUCCGCUUUGAGAUGGCCUCGCGUCCGAUUAGCUAGUUGGUGAGGUAAUGGCCCACCAAGGCAACGAUCGGUAGCCGGACUGAGAGGUUGAACGGCCACAUUGGGACUGAGACACGGCCCAGACUCCUACGGGAGGCAGCAGUGGGGAAUAUUGCACAAUGGGGGAAACCCUGAUGCAGCGACGCCGCGUGGAGGAAGAAGGUCUUCGGAUUGUAAACUCCUGUUGUUGAGGAAGAUAAUGACGGUACUCAACAAGGAAGUGACGGCUAACUACGUGCCAGCAGCCGCGGUAAAACGUAGGUCACAAGCGUUGUCCGGAAUUACUGGGUGUAAAGGGAGCGCAGGCGGGAAGACAAGUUGGAAGUGAAAUCUAUGGGCUCAACCCAUAAACUGCUUUCAAAACUGUUUUUCUUGAGUAGUGCAGAGGUAGGCGGAAUUCCCGGUGUAGCGGUGGAAUGCGUAGAUAUCGGGAGGAACACCAGUGGCGAAGGCGGCCUACUGGGCACCAACUGACGCUGAGGCUCGAAAGUGUGGGUAGCAAACAGGAUUAGAUACCCUGGUAGUCCACACCGCAAACGAUGAUUACUAGGUGUUGGAGGAUUGACCCCUUCAGUGCCGCAGUUAACACAAUAAGUAAUCCACUGGGGGAGUACGACCGCAAGGUUGAAACUCAAAGGAAUUGACGGGGGCCCGCACAAGCAGUGGAGUAUGUGGUUUAAUUCGACGCAACGCGAAGAACCUUACCAAGUCUUGACAUCCCUUGACGAACAUAGAAAUAUGUUUUCUCUUCGGAGCAAGGAGACAGGUGGUGCAUGGUUGUCGUCAGCUCGUGUCGUGAGAUGUUGGGUUAAGUCCCGCAACGAGCGCAACCCUUACUGUCAGUUACUACGCAAGAGGACUCUGGCAGGACUGCCGUUGACAAAACGGAGGAAGGUGGGGAUGACGUCAAAUCAUCAUGCCCUUUAUGACUUGGGCUACACACGUACUACAAUGGCGUUAAACAAAGAGAAGCAAGACCGCGAGGUGGAGCAAAACUCAGAAACAACGUCCCAGUUCGGACUGCAGGCUGCAACUCGCCUGCACGAAGUCGGAAUUGCUAGUAAUCGUGGAUCAGCAUGCCACGGUGAAUACGUUCCCGGGCCUUGUACUCACCGCCCGUCA
Molecule: ribosomal RNA, 1370 nt
Filed under: uncultured bacterium
Lineage: Bacteria
Description: bacterial SSU rRNA
Rfam family: Bacterial small subunit ribosomal RNA
Source: RNAcentral